UGCCCUAGUAACGGCGAGUGAAGCGGCAACAGCUCAAAUUUGAAAUCUGGCUCCCUCUUUGGGGGUCCGAGUUGUAAUUUGCAGAGGGUGCUUUGGCGUUGGUGGCGGUCUAAGUUCCUUGGAACCGGACAUCGCAGAGGGUGAGAAUCCCGUAUGUGGUCGCCUGCCUUCGCCGUGUAAAGCCCCUUCGACGAGUCGAGUUGUUUGGGAAUGCAGCUCUAAAUGGGAGGUAAAUUUCUUCUAAAGCUAAAUACUGGCCAGAGACCGAUAGCGCACAAGUAGAGUGAUCGAAAGAUGAAAAGCACUUUGGAAAGAGAGUCAAAAAGCACGUGAAAUUGUUGAAAGGGAAGCGCUUGUCGCCAGACUUGCCCGCAGUUGCUCACCUGGGCUCCGGCCCGGGGCACUCUUCUGCGGGCAGGCCAGCAUCAGUUCGGGCGGUUGGAUAAAGGCCUCUGUCACGUAUCUUCCUUCGGGAUGACCUUAUAGGGGAGGCGACAUGCAACCAGCCCGGGCUGAGGUCCGCGCUUCGGCUAGGAUGCUGGCGUAAUGGCUGUAAGCGGCCCGUCUUGAAACACGGACCAAGGAGUCUAACAUCUAUGCGAGUGUUUGGGUGUCAAGCCCGAGCGCGCAAUGAAAGUGAACGCAGGUGGGAACCUUCGGGUGCACCAUCGACCGAUCCUGAAGUCUUCGGAUGGAUUUGAGUAUGAGCAUAGCUGUUGGGACCCGAAAGAUGGUGAACUAUGCUUGAAUAGGGUGAAGCCAGAGGAAACUCUGGUGGAGGCUCGCAGCGGUUCUGACGUGCAAAUCGAUCGUCAAAUUUGGGCAUAGGGGCGAAAGACUAAUCGAACUAUC
This 852-nucleotide ribosomal RNA is filed under the name Pseudosplanchnonema phorcioides. RNAcentral's name for it is "partial 28S ribosomal RNA". It matches the Rfam family "Eukaryotic large subunit ribosomal RNA", at positions 76 to 944 of the family's 3401-position model. Lineage: Eukaryota; Fungi; Ascomycota; Dothideomycetes; Pleosporales; Massarinaceae. The record is from RNAcentral.